GCUCUUCAGAGGCGGCAAAUUGCAAGGAGACGCCGCCGCGUUCAUGCUGCCGGCGGACUGCUCGCGCCGGCUGGUGGCCGAGCUGCAGGGCGCCCUGGACGCCUGCGCACAGCGACAAUUGCAAUUGGAGCAGAGCCUGCGCGUUUGCCGUCGGCUGCUGCAGGCCUGGUACGCGGACCCGGGGACCCACUGGCCAGACCUCCCUCGGGCCCUCAGAGUCCUGCCCCGAGCUCUCAGGGCUGGGAGACCGGGUGCAGCCGCCCACUUCGGAGCUGUAGGUUGUUAGUGCCACCCUCCUUACCCUGCAAGCUCUGAGCUGGGGGCCUGCCGCGGGGCCCGGCGGCCCCCUCGGGUCUGUUUGGGCUGGGCCCUGCCUCCUGGCCGUGCGACGGCUGCCCGUGUCUUUGCAGGGAACCAACUGGGACCUGGGCUUUGAAGCCACCUCCAGGGCCAGAAACUAAUGAAGAAGACCCCCUUCCAGGUAAACCUCCACAACCCACCUUCUCCAGGUGCUGCUCUGGCCUGCCUUCUGGCAUGCAGUUGUG
This 545-nucleotide small RNA is filed under the name Pongo abelii (Sumatran orangutan). Its description in RNAcentral is "retained intron". Lineage: Eukaryota; Metazoa; Chordata; Mammalia; Primates; Hominidae. The record is from RNAcentral.